AGAGAAAGGAAAGCGCGAGGAGCCGCCGCCACCACCAGCGCAGCAGUCCUGGAGCUGUGAGGAGAUUCGGGCCGUCACCCUGCCUCCCCUGCGUCCCGCCACCGGCCGCUUCCGUCCUCGGACCCAUUCCAACAAUCUCUUAAAACAUGGUGGAUUACUAUGAAGUUCUAGGCGUGCAGAGACAUGCCUCACCCGAGGAUAUUAAAAAGGCAUAUCGGAAACUGGCACUGAAGUGGCAUCCAGAUAAAAAUCCCGAGAAUAAAGAAGAAGCAGAGAGAAAAUUCAAGCAAGUAGCGGAGGCAUAUGAAGUGCUGUCGGAUGCUAAGAAACGGGACAUCUAUGACAAAUAUGGCAAAGAAGGAUUAAAUGGUGGAGGAGGAGGUGGAAGUCAUUUUGACAGUCCAUUUGAAUUUGGCUUCACAUUCCGUAACCCAGAUGAUGUCUUCAGGGAAUUUUUUGGUGGAAGGGACCCAUUUUCAUUUGACUUCUUUGUUGUUUUUGUGUUUUGACUUACUGAAAGGGGAACACAUUGUAUGUUUACCUCCUUCAUU
RNAcentral lists this small RNA (551 nucleotides) under Pongo abelii (Sumatran orangutan). RNAcentral's name for it is "processed transcript". The record is from RNAcentral. Lineage: Eukaryota; Metazoa; Chordata; Mammalia; Primates; Hominidae.